UACGUAGGUCCCGAGCGUUGUCCGGAUUUAUUGGGCGUAAAGCGAGCGCAGGCGGUUAGAUAAGUCUGAAGUUAAAGGCUGUGGCUUAACCAUAGUACGCUUUGGAAACUGUUUAACUUGAGUGCAAGAGGGGAGAGUGGAAUUCCAUGUGUAGCGGUGAAAUGCGUAGAUAUAUGGAGGAACACCGGUGGCGAAAGCGGCUCUCUGGCUUGUAACUGACGCUGAGGCUCGAAAGCGUGGGGAGCAAACAGGAUU
Molecule: ribosomal RNA, 255 nt
Filed under: uncultured Streptococcaceae bacterium
Lineage: Bacteria; Bacillati; Bacillota; Bacilli; Lactobacillales; Streptococcaceae
Description: partial 16S ribosomal RNA
Rfam family: Bacterial small subunit ribosomal RNA
Source: RNAcentral